Oncorhynchus keta (chum salmon) is the source of this 1173-nucleotide long non-coding RNA. RefSeq lists it as uncharacterized. NCBI's taxonomy places the organism in Eukaryota, Metazoa, Chordata, Actinopteri, Salmoniformes, Salmonidae. The transcript has 3 exons. The record is from RefSeq and is a predicted model, not a curated record.
AGGACGGACAUACAAUGUGUUCAGAAAGUAUUCAGACCCCUUGACUUUUUCCACAUUUUGUUACGUUACAGCCUUUAUUCUAAAACGGAUUCAAUGUUUUUUUCCCUCAUCAAUCUACACACAAUAACCCAUAAUGACAAAGCAAAAACUGGUAUAUAGAAAUGGUAGUUUUCACUUUGUCAUUAUGGGGUAUUGUGAUGUCAUUAUGGGGUAUUGUGAUGUCAUUAUGGGGUAUUGUGAUGUCAUUAUGGGGUAUUGUGAUGUCAUUAUGGGGUAUUGUGUGUAGAUUGAUGAGGAAAACAAUUCAUUGAAUCAAAUUUAAAUUAAGACGAAUGGAACAAUGUGGAAAAAGUCAAGGGGUCUGAAUACUUUCUGAACGCUCUCUAUAUAAUAUUAACCUCAGAAACAAUUGGGGCGGCAGUUAGCCUAGUAGUUAGAGGAGGCAGGUAGCCUAGUGGUUAGAGGGAGGUAGCCUAGUGGUUAGAGGAGGCAGGUAGCCUAGUGGUUAGAGGGAGGUAGCCUAGUGGUUAGAGGAGGCAGGUAGCCUAGUGGUUAGAGGAGGCAGGUAGCCUAGUGGUUAGAGGAGGCAGGUAGCCUAGUGGUUAGAGGAGGCAGGUAGCCUAGUGGUUAGAGGAGGCAGGUAGCCUAGUGGUUAGAGGAGGCAGGUAGCCUUGUGGUUAGAGGAGGCAGGUAGCCUAGUGGUUAGAGGAGGCAGGUAGCCUAGUGGUUAGAGGAGGCAGGUAGCCUAGUGGUUAGAGGCAGGUAGCCUAGUGGUUAGAGGAGGCAGGUAGCCUAGUGGUUAGAGGAGGCAGGUAGCCUAGUGGUUAGAGGAGGCAGGUAGCCUAGUGGUUAGAGGAGGCAGGUAGCCUAGUGGUUAGAGGAGGCAGGUAGCCUAGUGGUUAGAGGAGGCAGGUAGCCUAGUGGUUAGAGGCAGGUAGCCUAGUGGUUAGAGGAGGCAGGUAGCCUAGUGGUUAGAGCGUUGGGCCAGUAACCUAAAGGUUGCUACAUGGAAUCCCCCGAGCUGACAACGUAAAAAUCUGUCGUUCUGCCCCUGAACAAGGCAGUUUAUCCACUGUUCCUAGACCAGUUAACCCACUGUUCCUAGACCAGCUAACCCAGUGUUCCUAGACCAGUUAUCCCACUGUUCCUAGACCAGUUAUCCCACUGUUCCUA